RNAcentral lists this transfer RNA (73 nucleotides) under Pediculus humanus capitis (human head louse). RNAcentral describes it as "tRNA-Tyr". It matches the Rfam family "tRNA". From Rfam's summary of the family: Transfer RNA (tRNA) molecules are approximately 80 nucleotides in length. Their secondary structure includes four short double-helical elements and three loops (D, anti-codon, and T loops). Lineage: Eukaryota; Metazoa; Arthropoda; Insecta; Psocodea; Pediculidae. The record is from RNAcentral.
GGGACAGAAGCUUAACACAAAGCGUUACUCUGUAAAAGUAAAGAUGAGAAUGUAUAAUAAAUCUCCUUUCCCA